The sequence is a ribosomal RNA, 437 nucleotides long. It matches the Rfam family "Bacterial small subunit ribosomal RNA", at positions 341 to 792 of the family's 1533-position model.
ACGGGAGGCAGCAGUGGGGAAUAUUGGGCAAUGGGCGCAAGCCUGACCCAGCAACGCCGCGUGAAGGAAGAAGGCUUUCGGGUUGUAAACUUCUUUUACCAGGGACGAAGGACGUGACGGUACCUGGAGAAAAAGCCACGGCUAACUACGUGCCAGCAGCCGCGGUAAUACGUAGGUGGCAAGCGUUGUCCGGAUUUACUGGGUGUAAAGGGCGUGUAGGCGGAGAUGCAAGUCAGGAGUGAAAUCUAUGGGCUCAACCCAUAAACUGCUUUUGAAACUGUAUCCCUUGAGUAUCGGAGAGGCAGGCGGAAUUCCUAGUGUAGCGGUGAAAUGCGUAGAUAUUAGGAGGAACACCAGUGGCGAAGGCGGCCUGCUGGACGACAACUGACGCUCAUGCACGAAAGUGCGGGGAUCGAACAGGAUUAGAUACCCUGGUA